GGUUGCAGGUGGAUAGAUGAUUCGAGAAGGUUGCGGAUGGAUAGAGAAGAGUGAGAAUUUUGUGGAUGGAUGAUUCAAAAUAUUUGAUAUUUUGAUGGCAAAUGCAUCUGUCAUGGAUCCCUCGAUCCUUCCGCAUGGCGAUCACUAGAGUUUUUCCGGUACUAGGCUCUGUAAAAAAUAUAUAAUCUACGCAAUAAUAAUAACUUGCCCUCCAAGUCUUCAAAUUGGCUCAAUUUGCAAGUUCACAGAUUUGGUUGCUGAAAUCCUGGUGGUCGUUUCGAAUCUUGCAAGAUCCACGGCUUAAGGGAAUCAAUCCGGCCAGUUUUUCUCUAGGCAUGACUGGACGUGGUGAAAACCGAACAUUUAUUUUCAAAGUUGGCUUAAGUUUUGGGGAAAAUUGAUGCAACUGGCAGCUGCAUGGCUAAUUUUAGGGGCAAAUUGUAGGAGCAGUAAUAUGGUGUGGUUUUGCAAAUGCAGAGCGGUAUUGUCAUCUUGGAGCAGGCUUCCCCUUUCCCACGAUUUUGAUUACUACAUCAUCUUUGAGCAUCGAUUCCCAUUUUUGAGGGUAGCGAUAUCAUCUUGGAAGCAAGGCGACUCAUUUGGGACAUUUUGUAUGAGCUGUGGCAAUAGUUAUUUCAGUGUGGAUCAGAAACGGACCUGAACAUAAGAAACCCUCGAUUUGGAUCCUAUCUUCCUAAUUGGGCAUUGAGACUCACAUUUCAGUAAGGCACCUUCACCUAGCAUCAAGGCCAAUCAAGCUAGAGGUGGUUUGGAAGGGCUAUUGGUAGACCAUAUAAAUAUUUUAGUCUGGUCUGUCGGAAUUCGAACAAAACUAAUCAAGUCCGAGGCGAAUUCUGGCUGGAUUGAAGGUUUUGUUGAUUUGAUUUGCAUUUUGUUGUGUUGUGGCUCAUGGCGUCGUCGUCUCUAUUUCUAAUGGAUGACCAGUCCGAUGCAGAUUUUUUCGAUAAGCUUGUGGAUGAUGACGAUGAUUAUAAAGUUUCUAAUUCUGAAAAUUUGGAAAAUACUACUUCGACUAAUACUGCAGAAAUCGAGUGUGAUGCGGCUUUAUUGAUAGCACAAGUGAUGCAAUAUCGAAAUUGAAGUUGGAUGCAACAUAAAAUAAUAAAAAGGCAGUGUCUUUUAUUUCAGCAGAAGAAGUUUCAGGAUUAAAUAAGAUCUCGCCAAUCACAAGUGGGUCAACAACUAUAUGUGAUGAAAAUAAGCCUUCUGAUGGCGAGGGUUACAACAGGGAAGAUGCUCCAUCAGAAGGCUUCUCAUCGGAGCAGAAGCAGUUAUCCUUUGACAAUAUGGUAAAGGAGGAAGUGCUUAUGGAAUCUGCGGAAAAUGCAUUUGCUAAAUCUGGAGCUAAAGAAGAAGUGGACCAUUUGAUUAAUGACACUGACGAUGGGUAUCAGGAGGGCACAAAAUCUGCAGAAAAUGCAUUUGGUAAACCUGGAAAUAAUGAAGAAGCGGGCUUUUCGUUUAA
This is a long non-coding RNA of Cryptomeria japonica (Japanese cedar), 1486 nucleotides long. RefSeq lists it as uncharacterized. The transcript has 2 exons. Lineage: Eukaryota; Viridiplantae; Streptophyta; Pinopsida; Cupressales; Cupressaceae. The record is from RefSeq and is a predicted model, not a curated record.